This 253-nucleotide ribosomal RNA is filed under the name uncultured bacterium. RNAcentral's name for it is "partial 16S ribosomal RNA". It matches the Rfam family "Bacterial small subunit ribosomal RNA", at positions 524 to 776 of the family's 1533-position model. The record is from RNAcentral.
UACGUAGGGGGCUAGCGUUGUCCGGAAUCAUUGGGCGUAAAGAGCGCGUAGGCGGCCAGAUAAGUCCGGUGUGAAAGUCAAAGGCUCAACCUUUGAAUGCCGCUGGAAACUGUCUGGCUAGAGUCCGGGAGGGGCGAGUGGAAUUCCUGGUGUAGCGGUGAAAUGCGCAGAUAUCAGGAGGAACACCAAUGGCGAAGGCAGCUCGCUGGAACGGUACUGACGCUGAGGAGCGAAAGCCAGGGGAGCAAACGGG